This 495-nucleotide ribosomal RNA is filed under the name uncultured bacterium. RNAcentral's name for it is "partial 16S ribosomal RNA". It matches the Rfam family "Bacterial small subunit ribosomal RNA", at positions 28 to 507 of the family's 1533-position model. The record is from RNAcentral.
GACGAACGCUGGCGGCGUGCCUAAUACAUGCCAGUAGAACGCUUAAGGAGGAGCUUGCUUCUCCGGAUGAGUUGCGAACGGGUGAGUAACGCGUAGGUAACCUGCCUGGUAGCGGGGGAUAACUAUUGGAAACGAUAGCUAAUACCGCAUAAGAGUAGAUGUCGCAUGACAUUUGCUUAAAAGGUGCAACUGCACCACUACCAGAUGGACCUGCGUUGUAUUAGCUAGUUGGUGAGGUAACGGCUCACCAAGGCAACGAUACAUAGCCGACCUGAGAGGGUGAUCGGCCACACUGGGACUGAGACACGGCCCAGACUCCUACGGGAGGCAGCAGUAGGGAAUCUUCGGCAAUGGACGGAAGUCUGACCGAGCAACGCCGCGUGAGUGAAGAAGGGUUUCGGAUCGUAAAGCUCUGUUGUAAGAGAAGAACGAGUGUGAGAGUGGAAAGUUCACACUGUGACGGUAUCUUACCAGAAAGGGACGGCUAACUACGUG